CCUACGGGAGGCAGCAGUGAGGAAUAUUGGUCAAUGGUCGGGAGACUGAACCAGCCAAGCCGCGUGAGGGAUGAAGGUACAGAGUAUCGUAAACCUCUUUUGUCAGGGAACAAAGGCGGGGACGUGUCCCCGGAUGAGUGUAACUCAAGAAAAAGCAUCGGCUAACUCCGUGCCAGCAGCCGCGGUAAUACGGAGGAUGCGAGCGGUAUCCGGAUUUAGUGGGUUUAAGGGGUGCGCAGGCGGUCUGUUAAGUCAGCGGUCAAAGCCCGGGGCUCAACCCCGGCCCGCCGUUGAAACUGGCAGUCUCGAGUUGGAGAGAAGUAUGCGGAAUGCGCGGUGUAGCGGUGAAAUGCAUAGAUAUCGCGCAGAACUCCGAUUGCGAAGGCAGCAUGCCGGCUCCACACUGACGCUGAGGCACGAAAGCGUGGGUAUCGAACAGGAUUAGAUACCCUUGUAGUC
This 459-nucleotide ribosomal RNA is filed under the name uncultured bacterium. RNAcentral describes it as "partial 16S ribosomal RNA". It matches the Rfam family "Bacterial small subunit ribosomal RNA", at positions 338 to 795 of the family's 1533-position model. The record is from RNAcentral.